GGUUUCCUUGUUCUGCCUUCCUAUUGUGAUGGGUGAGUGCUUUUGCUUAGGCUUGUAGGCCAGGGCUCUUGUUAGCUCUGCUGCCUGCUCCUCUUACAUACAACUUUUGGGGAUGAUAGCCUUUAAUUUUCUACAGCACUUCAAAAUAGAUUCUUUCUGUGGUCUGCAUUAGAACUUUUUUUAACAUCCAUAUAGGAAUUUUAUGCCCAUUAAAAUUCCUAUAUGCCAGGUGCAGUGGCUCACUGCACCUAUAGGCCAGGUGCAGUGGCUCACAGCCGUAAUCCCAAUACUUUGGGAGACUGAAGUGGGAGGAUUCCUUGAGCCCAGGAGCUUGAGACUGGCCAGGACAAUAUAGUGAGACCUUAUCUGUACAAAAAACAAUAAUAAAUAACAAAAUUAGCCAGCCAUUAUGGCAUGAGCCUGUAGUCCCAGAUACUCAAGAGGCUGAGUAUUGUUG
This 457-nucleotide long non-coding RNA is filed under the name Pan troglodytes (chimpanzee). Its description in RNAcentral is "long non-coding RNA NONPTRT012991". Lineage: Eukaryota; Metazoa; Chordata; Mammalia; Primates; Hominidae. The record is from RNAcentral.